RNAcentral lists this ribosomal RNA (486 nucleotides) under Acidithiobacillus ferrooxidans. RNAcentral's name for it is "bacterial SSU rRNA". It matches the Rfam family "Bacterial small subunit ribosomal RNA", at positions 1 to 493 of the family's 1533-position model. Lineage: Bacteria; Pseudomonadati; Pseudomonadota; Acidithiobacillia; Acidithiobacillales; Acidithiobacillaceae. The record is from RNAcentral.
GUAGAGUUUGAUCCUGGCUCAGAUUGAACGCUGGCGGCAUGCCUAACACAUGCAAGUCGAACGGUAACAGGUCUUCGGAUGCUGACGAGUGGCGGACGGGUGAGUAAUGCGUAGGAAUCUGUCUUUUAGUGGGGGACAACCCAGGGAAACUUGGGCUAAUACCGCAUGAGCCCUGAGGGGGAAAGCGGGGGAUCUUCGGACCUCGCGCUAAGAGAGGAGCCUACGUCCGAUUAGCUAGUUGGCGGGGUAAAGGCCCACCAAGGCGACGAUCGGUAGCUGGUCUGAGAGGACGACCAGCCACACUGGGACUGAGACACGGCCCAGACUCCUACGGGAGGCAGCAGUGGGGAAUUUUUCGCAAUGGGGGCAACCCUGACGAAGCAAUGCCGCGUGGAUGAAGAAGGCCUUCGGGUUGUAAAGUCCUUUCGUGGAGGACGAAAAGGCGGGUUCUAAUACAAUCUGCUAUUGACGUAAUCCAGAGAGCCC